This 486-nucleotide ribosomal RNA is filed under the name uncultured bacterium. RNAcentral's name for it is "bacterial SSU rRNA". It matches the Rfam family "Bacterial small subunit ribosomal RNA", at positions 23 to 484 of the family's 1533-position model. The record is from RNAcentral.
CUCAGAUUGAACGCUGGCGGCAGGCCUAACACAUGCAAGUCGAGCGGAAACGACAUUAACAAUCCUUCGGGUGCGUUAAUGGGCGUCGAGCGGCGGACGGGUGAGUAAUGCCUGGGAAAUUGCCUUGAUGUGGGGGAUAACCAUUGGAAACGAUGGCUAAUACCGCAUAAUGCCUACGGGCCAAAGAGGGGGAUCUUCGGACCUCUCGCGUCAAGAUAUGCCUAGGUGGGAUUAGCUAGUUGGUGAGGUAAUGGCUCACCAAGGCGACGAUCCCUAGCUGGUCUGAGAGGAUGAUCAGCCACACUGGAACUGAGACACGGUCCAGACUCCUACGGGAGGCAGCAGUGGGGAAUAUUGCACAAUGGGCGAAAGCCUGAUGCAGCCAUGCCGCGUGUAUGAAGUAACGGCCUUCGGGUUAGUAAACGUACUUUCAGUUGUGAGGUAAGGUGUGUAGUAAUAGCUGCGCAUCGUUGACGUUAGCAACAA